RNAcentral lists this long non-coding RNA (1536 nucleotides) under Cyanistes caeruleus (blue tit). RNAcentral describes it as "lncRNA (ENSCCEG00000011956.1)". The record is from RNAcentral. Lineage: Eukaryota; Metazoa; Chordata; Aves; Passeriformes; Paridae.
GAAGCUCGUAUCAGCACCUUUUUACUGGCAUGUUCGCUGAAGCAGAGGUGGGUUUUGGUUUCUUUCUCUUUGAACAGCGAAGAGGCCUGCACAGGAUUUCCAGCUGCGGCUGCUGAGGGCUGCUGUGCGGCGGUGAGGUGCGGGCCUCCUGCGAGCCCACAUCCAGCAGGCUGGAACAAAGGGCUCCUCUGCCCUGAGCUGUGCCCGUCACUCCCUGCAAGGUGCUGCCCCGAAACAGGACAGGGCCUCAGCUGCUGCUGGGGGGCUGCUGUGCAGAAGAGCCUCUUUGCUCUGCAGCCAGCCCAGUCCAGCUCUGCAGGGAGGGUGGAAGCUCUGAGUACUAGGCCAGAGAAAGAGGGUGCUGCUGUGGGUGCCUGCCCUCUGCUUGGCUGGCCAAGACCACACUGGGGCAAUGUGUUUCCUUCAGCUCCUCUCCUGAUUCUUCCUGCCCUGCAGAAGACUAAGUCUCAGACAACAUCCUCUGAAUCAGGCCUGUGAAGCACAACGGAUUUAUGCCUGCUGAAAGAAAAUAUAUGGAAAAUGAUGAAUCAUCUAGAAACAAGAGAACCAGGAAACAAGAAACAAGGUAGAACAGUCUGGUUUUAUUACCAUAUGUAAUCAAGAGCUUUUAUUUCCCACCUCUCCUCCUUUUUCUUUUCCUUUCCUGCCUUUUUUUUUUUCCUUUUACAACCGACAUUAAGUUGUGAAUCAUAUGUUAGGGGGAUGUGGAAAUGAAGGGAAACUGGUGACAUCACAAUACUUUACAACUUUACAAAUGAGAGUCUGAAUUUGUUGCAUCUACCAGUGUAUAGCAAGGGUGGAAAGCAAAGGCACACAUAGGUUCAUGAACCCUCAAAACAGAAUGAGGGUGGAAGGGAACUGGGGUUGGGAAAGGAUGAAAACAAAAGACCCACCGAAUACAAAAUGAACAUUUCGAGGUCAACCCAGUAACUGCAGUGUAAGUUGUGAAGGCAGAUCGCUGCACAAGCUGUUUCCAUGAUUUUCCAUCUCCAUGGUUUGGGACAACGUUUUGAGGGAUAAUAUCAAGGGAACUCUGCUUCAGGGGUUGGAGCUUGAUAAAAAGGUGUUAAGUUGGUUCUUUUUUAAAAAAAUUAGCUUGCUACCUACUGUUUUCAAAGGGUUUUCAGUUUGUUUUUAUUAAAACAACAACAUUGCUUUGGAUACAGAUCUAUCUACUCCAGUCUGCAUAGUUCACUACGGGUGAACAAAACUGUUUCAUAGAAGAAGCCAUGAUGAAAUGAAAGAACAUGCAAGCACCCUUGUUACACACUUUGGUGUAGACCAUCCAGACCUUAUAUAUACCAUCUAUAAGCUAGUGGACUUUAAAUCUGUCUUUUCAACCAUUCGGAAACAAAACCAAAACCCUGAAAAACAAAUGGAAGUAUAAAAUUUUAAAAAACAAAUUGAAACAGAAACAACCACCUUACUCAAACAUACUGUUCAGUAGAUAUAUAUAUAUAUAUAUAUAUAUAUAAAAAGCUUAGAAGCGAUCCCCAUCAUUUUUCUACAGUAUGU